Molecule: long non-coding RNA, 444 nt
Organism: Molossus molossus (Pallas's mastiff bat)
Lineage: Eukaryota; Metazoa; Chordata; Mammalia; Chiroptera; Molossidae
Exons: 3
Source: RefSeq, a predicted model, not a curated record
GAUAAAACUGAAUUAGCUGUCAUGGUGAUUCUGCUGUGAUACUUCUUUCUUGGCAGCAGAAGGGAAAUUUUUCAGGAGUCUCAAGCCCUGACUCCUACUCUUUAAUGGCACCGAGGGACAACUAAACCACUCAAAGACAUCACCUUCGGCGAGUUCAGGAAGCCACCAAGUAUAAUUUACAUUAUAAUAGAAUGCAGCUCUUAAGCAUUCAGUUGGAUGACUUUGGACAAUUGUGUACAGCUAAGUGAUCACCCAAAUCAUGAUGUAGAACACUUCCAUUUUCCUCCAAAGCUAGAUGACAUGCAUUUUGAAAGUGGGGACCAUUUUCCUUCAUCUGCACAAGGCAUGGCCCAGAGAAGCCCCUCAACACAGAACUGUUGGAAGGGAUGAAGGAAUGAACACCGGCCAAGCAGAGUAAAACCAAGCAGACUUUGCAUGACUGAA